This 253-nucleotide ribosomal RNA is filed under the name uncultured bacterium. RNAcentral's name for it is "partial 16S ribosomal RNA". It matches the Rfam family "Bacterial small subunit ribosomal RNA", at positions 524 to 776 of the family's 1533-position model. The record is from RNAcentral.
UACGAAGGGGGCUAGCGUUGUUCGGAAUUACUGGGCGUAAAGCGUGCGCAGGCGGUGAUGUAAGACAGGCGUGAAAUCCCCGGGCUUAACCUGGGAACUGCAUUUGUGACUGCAUCGCUGGAGUGCGGCAGAGGGGGAUGGAAUUCCGCGUGUAGCAGUGAAAUGCGUAGAUAUGCGGAGGAACACCGAUGGCGAAGGCAAUCCCCUGGGCCUGCACUGACGCUCAUGCACGAAAGCGUGGGGAGCAAACAGG